UACGUAGGGCGCAAGCGUUUAUCCGGGAAUUAUUGGGCGUAAAGAGCUCGUAGGCGGUUUGUCGCGUCUGCCGUGAAAGUCCGGGGCUCAACUCCGGAUCUGCGGUGGGUACGGGCAGACUAGAGUGAUGUAGGGGGAGACUGGAAUUCCUGGAUGUAGCGGUGAAAUGCGCAGAUAUCAGGAGGAACACCGAUGGCGAAGGCAGGUCUCUGGGCAUUAACUGACGCUGGAGGAGCGAAAGCAUGGGGAGCGAACAGG
RNAcentral lists this ribosomal RNA (258 nucleotides) under uncultured bacterium. Its description in RNAcentral is "partial 16S ribosomal RNA". It matches the Rfam family "Bacterial small subunit ribosomal RNA", at positions 524 to 776 of the family's 1533-position model. The record is from RNAcentral.